RNAcentral lists this long non-coding RNA (6243 nucleotides) under Musa acuminata (dwarf banana). RNAcentral describes it as "long non-coding RNA (MACU_LNC006403)". Lineage: Eukaryota; Viridiplantae; Streptophyta; Magnoliopsida; Zingiberales; Musaceae. The record is from RNAcentral.
UUGCUACUAGAGAAAUUUAUUGUUGGGCACAUUGUACACGUGGAGCCGCAUCUUCAUCUUCAUCAUAGGCUUCCUGCUGCCGCUGCAGGCGCUGUCGCCUCAUCUCCUCUUCGAUGUUAACAUCAUACAUGGUAGUCUCCUCACACUCGUCUAAUUCCAUGUUUGAGAUGUGGUUGCUUGGCCUUGGUGGCAGAAUUUUCUCCAGAGAACGACAUUGAUCAGGAGAAAACACUCCUGUCUCAGGAAAUUCAACAUUGAACUGGAUAUAAAGGCGACCCUUCAUGAAUGGCCUCCCAUGAUGAGGCAUUCCUUCAUCAUCAAUUGCUUUAUAUUGACCUAAUUGGAGAGAGAAAAUGAAACUUUAGACCACAGAACGAAGUGAUAGACUACCUUAAGACAGCUGAAAAAGAAUUAGCAAGAGGAAAUUAUAAUCAACAUAAAUAAAAGAUGUGUACCGGGCUUGAUGACUUCGCCUGGACUUGACUUAAUAAGUAACUGUCUGCCAUCAAGAUGGGUCAGAACAAACUGAAAUCCGCAAAGUGCCUCUGUCAGACUAAGUGUCCGAUCCACAUAGAGGUCAUCAUACUUCCUUUUGAAUUUUGGAUGCUCCUUAUGUUGUAGGACAAAAACUAUAUCUCCUGUCACUGUAUCCGGCUGCCAAAGAAAAAAGCAGGCAUUGAAUACAGAAGCAUCAAUGUAAUGUUUAUGUUAGGAACAACUUGGAUAUUCAGAUAUUAGUCAACACAACUCCCCACAAGCACAAAUGCAACAGUGCCAAGAAGGAUAAUCCGAAUGUAAUACCAGAGACACUGUAAUGCAUUUUUAUUUUACAUUGCCUGGCAAAAAACAUACAUGUAGAUGGGAGAACGCACACAAGCAUGGAAUUUUUUAAGGAAACAACCUAAAUCGACAAGAAGUUCAAAGCUAAACAAAGUAAAUUACUAGAGGCACAUGAUUUUUUUCUUACAGCUUCAUCAGCUUCUCCUGCAAAUACAAUCUUCUGACCAUGUUGCAUUCCCUUCUCAACAUGAACCUCCAAGACCUUCUUUUCCUGCAUAACUUUGUUCCCUUUACAAUGUGGGCAUUUGUCCUUAUCGCUGAUGACCUCACCUAAAAAUUAUUUACAAUUUACUCAGAACAAAAACAAAUGCUUAUGGUAGAGCAUAUUUGUCCAUGGGUAUGUAUAUGUAAUUAUGUACAUGUAUAGGUAUAUGUAUAUAUAUAUACAUAUAUAUACAUAUAUAUACACAUAUAUAUACACAUAUAUACAUAUAUAUACACAUAUAUAUAUAUAUAUAUACACAUAUAUAUACAUAUAUAUACACAUAUAUAUACAUAUAUAUACACAUAUAUAUAUAUAUAUAGAUGAGAGAGAAAAUUCUAUAGCACCUGAGCCUCUGCAUUCAGGGCAAACGUGCUGCAUCUGCUGGAUCAUGCCUAGUCCAAUUUGUCUAGUUACAGUCCUCAUUCCUGUACCUUGACAUCCAUAACAUCUCCCUGAAGCUCCACUCUUUGAACCUUUUCUGAAAUAAUCAACAAGCUUACAGAUGAACUAAACAAAAGACAAAAAUAGAUUCAUGGAAAACAUAAAACAAAGUGCAUCUCAUUCUUCUAGGUAAUAUAAUGAUCAUAUUUGGGAAUAAACUGAAUCCAUAGAAUUUAAAAUCUUGAAUGGUCCCAAUUCUUUGUAGAAACUAACCAUGCAGCCAAUAUAUAUGCUAAGACAUAUGAAUAAAAUAUGCAUUGCUGCUUCCCACCAAGAAGAAGCAAAUAAAAGAAAGAUCAGACCAAAGUGAAGUUACACUCCACAUGUACUCGACAUAGUUCUACCUAAUCAUUCACACCCAUCUCCAUAUUGUCUGAAUGAACAACUGUUAAUUUCUAAAGCAUUAUAUCACAACAUUAUUGGAAAUAAACAUGAUUAAUAUUACCACUGGUAUGUUAGAAUCUUUUUGAGAAACUCGAUGCCAGAUCAAAUCAGAUCCAGUAAAUGCCUAUUCAUGUUUGUACAAUAUUUGGAAAAUUAUGCCAUUGAUUCAAGAUGAGCAUCAGUAGCAGUCGCACUCAAAGUUAAGGGCUAAAGCUAUCAACACUCAAGUUAGCUGGGUAUAGUCAGAUACAUUAUGUAAUUCUUAGGAUCACCUGAACCCAAAGUGGGUUGGCUGAUCUGAUCCGGGAUUAGCUAUAGAGAUUCUAUAAAAUCGUUCAAAGUGAUAGGGAUAGCUGAUUUUUUUUCAAUCUCAAGUGAUCUGUGAUCUGCUGGGAAGAAAAGAAGGAAAAGAAGAUGAGAAGAAAAUUAGGAAGAGUAAAAGAUGAGACUUGCAGUACAAACUACAAAGAGAAUAAAGUUGUCAUUAAUUGAUCCUGAAAAUUCAUCCAGGUCAGUAAAGAGGUUGAGAAGACAGUAGUGAGGUCAUGAACAGGUUACAUAGUCUGUUCCUAUCCUGUGAAAGGUCAGGUUGUGUAGAGAAGGACACACAAGUCAAGGAGAGGUUCACCACUCUAUCCUGUGAAAGGAGGGGAGGAACUUCUUGAGGAAACCAUCUUCUAUUCAUAAGAAAAAAGGAGAGAAGUGGCUAUAUCACAAGACAUGAAAAAAAACGAAAGGACAAAAAAACUAGUGUUCACAAUUCAUUUCAUGCUGACAACUCAAUGGAGAAGAUCCUAGAUUUAAGGAACUGACAUAAACCCCUAUUUCUGAUGCACAAAUUUUGUAGUAUAUAACAUUGACAUAUAAACCUCUAUUCAUGUGUAAAUGAAAAAUUCUUGGAUGACUUCUAAAUCCAAAUUUGAUAACUUAGACCAACUUGCAACCAGCAAAAUUGCCAUGACCACAACUAUAAAUGCUUUCUUUCUCAUCCGUACUUUUGUGAAAGAGUUGUAAAUCAGUGCUCUUAGAUGAUUUCAGAUUUUUGGGAGCUUUAAGCCAUUAUGAUUUGCGUAUGUAUGGUUGGUGCAGGUACAAUGCCAAAUCUAAGUCCUAUUUUGGUUUCAUCUGUAUAACAAGACAUUGUUGCAUUCAGGGUUUCAAUUCCAAAAUUGUCUUCUCUGCUUGAAAGGGUCUUCUAUACAUUAUACACAGUCCUCCCCUCAGUUUUAAUACCCUUCAGUUUUUAUUUGCAAUGAAGGAUGGACAUAAUGAAUGUUGUUUUCUUCUCUCAGUUGUAAUAUGCUACUGAUUUGUGUAAGUUUCAUGAUCAAUGACAUGACACCAACUCAUAACUGUAGUUCAAGAUGUCUCACAAAAUGCAUCUCUCUUCCAUUGACUAUCCUUUUAUCUUACCUUCUGGUCGUCACUUUUCAUAUUUCUUUUUAUUUAACUUCACUAUGGAAUCCAAUUCUAUGCUCCGAGUAUUUCUGUCACUAACCUAGUUAUUACCACUUAGCUCUUGUCAUUUAUAUUUAGAUAUGUCAUACAAGAUUUUCCCAACACAUUCUAUGUUUCAUCAAUUAUGUGGAAACUUCAAAGAUCAAUAGUAUCUUCAAAAUUAAGCAUCAAAAUUCAUUUCAGUCCUUUGAAUCCUGAUACCUGGAUUGUGCAGUACCUUCCCAAUCUUAGUUGACCAGAAGAUCAAUCUUCAUUUCAGCUUCAAGAAUUUUUCAUAUCUUAAAUAACAAAAUCUUGUUGUGCAAGAUCAAACAGUUUUCUUAGGAGUAAUUCCAUUCAAAAAUGCCAAACCGAGUCACUGUUGCCAUGUUUAUAAGAGGUCAAGAUGAGAUCAAUACUUAAAGUCAAAAGAAAGAUAACAGCAACAAUCCAAUAUGACCAACAAAUUGCAUUAAAAAUUCCACUACAACAGAGCCGUUAAACCCAUUGUUAAACAUUUAAGCACAACAACCAAGUUCAAAAAACCCACUCAUUGACCACUUCAAUUUAGCACAACACUAUAAAAAGCAAAAGUGCGGUGGUUGUAAAUUGUAAUCUCCAUGCAAUAUCCUAGUCAAAUGCCACAAUACAUUUCUAAGCAGAGCCAUUAACUUGGCAACAAGGAAUCCUAGAUGCCGUUGGCAAAUCACAAAAAUCCAUAAAUACAUGCAAAUAUCACUAACAUAUGAGUUAUAAAAUAUAUAAGAACACAAAGAGCUUUUUUUUUUCCCAUCCUAAUGUGCAAAAUAACAAGGUGUUCAACUGUUUGACUGUUGAACUUUUCAAGAACAUUUUUUUGAUAUCCUUGCUCCUUGCAAGAUAAAAAGAUCAACAAAAGAAGACUGUUUUCUGACUUGAAUCACACCAAAAUUAUGUGAAGCAUAUGUUGAAUUACACCACGGAUAAAAUCAUGGAUCACAAAAUUCUCAAUUAGAGAUCAGAUUAUGAAAAAGAAAGAAAGAAGUUUCAGGACAGGAUGACUAGACAAAUUAAACAGACACACGGAAUAACCAAAAGACACAUGUAUAGUCCGGUGUUUUUUAGGAGAAACAGCCUCAAUUCAUGAACAUAACUUUAGCUAGAAUAUGGUUUACUUGCUGAUAUAGGUACAUGCAUUAACAAGUAUAAUAUAACUUCCCUUUACAACCAAAAUAUUUAAAAAAUAUUGUUCAAUUCUUUAAGAAAGGCAAGAUGCUACCCAUUUAUAGCUUCAAGUGCCAAAAUUUACCUUAAUUUUCAAAAUCUAACAAGAAGAUUGAUUGCAUGCCUUACAGGCCACAUAAUAACAAAUGUCUUGUUCUCAAUGAUCAUAAUUGAGUUAGAUGAUUGCUUGAGGGAUUAUAUCAUCAAUAACAUGGAAAUAGAUAUUGUGAUGCUAAAUAAUCUUGGUCCUAGAACUUCAUUGAGGACAUGUAAUCUUUGCCGAUUAUUGUAUUUUGUUCAAAUUUCAAAGGUGCCAGAGCAGUGAAGCAUCAAGGUUCUUGAAGCUUGGACAAAGCACUGAUGAUAGCACAUGCCUUAGUUAACAAAGGCACACAACGUAAAACAAAUCCAUAGAGUAACUGGAGGAGCUUGUCAGGAUUCCAUGGUAAGUAAUUUGUUAUGUAGGCAUCAACCUCUCUGUUACUCUUGUUUAGAUUCUCUUUCUUUGAAUUUUCCUUUUUCUUUUCCCCUAAGCCCAACUCUGAAGCCAGCAAAAUGUUAUAACAUAAUCCAAAUACUUGGUCUUCAUUUCCUUUUCAGUGAAGGGUGAUCUCCCCAAAAUAACAAAACUUUUUCCUCUUAGGCAUUUGGCUUUCUGGAAAGGUUAGACACUUAACAGGCACAUCAAUGAAGCUAGUGAGCUUCAAGUGAGCUCGUAUACUUUUUAGAUGAUGAACAUGCAUUGAUUUUGCUAAAACUUAACAAUACUCAUUGCUACUCCAGCAAAAUUAAAAAUAUGAACCACAUAGAUUCAGAGAAUGAGUAUGAUGUACAACUAAGAAGCAUGAACACAUUGGGCGGUCGAUAGUUAGUAUAAAGGUGAAGCAAUUACAUUGGCUAAAUCAAUAGCACUUAAUACUAAUAUCAAGCUUUGAAUAAAAAAGCAAAUACAAUUGGCAGUUGAUUUCCCAUUAAACUAAUAAGCAUCACGGACAGUUCUCAGACAAAAUAUGACAAAAUUGCCGAUGCAUACCCUUUGCACUUUUGGCAUAAGGCAUUUCUUGACAGUGAAAGCUUUUUCGAUGUCCCAUUGUACAGGUCUUCCAAAGACACCUUUAAGGAAUGAACUACAUCUUCACCUCGUUUUUGCCUACGACCUCUUGAACUGCCACCUUCAGGCCAAAUACAUCUAAUAAAUUUAUCAUCCAUAAAUCACAUAGCAAAGUAAAAGGAGUUGCAAAAAAAUUUUCCUCACCACCAAAACUGCCACCACCGAAACUGCUACCACCGAAGAACUGCUCAAAUAUUUCAAAUGGAUUGUGGAAACUUCCACCACCGCCUCCUCCUAUUCCCUCUUUAAGUGCAUCUUCCCCAUAUUUAUCAUAAAUUUCUCUCUUUUCAGGAUCACUAAGAACUUCGUAUGCUUGAGCCAAUUCCUUAAACUGAUCCAAUGCAUUAAUAACGAGAUAUUAAGUCCGAGAGAACAAGAAGGCAUAUUAAGCAAAAAACUACGAAUGGUCUCUUGAAAACACCAACAGUACUACCGUGAACAGAAACAGAAGACAAAAGAAUCACUUAGAGAUUUUGAUAAAAAAAAGGCUCACCUUCUCAGGAUCUCCACCCUUAUCCGGGUGGUUCCUUAUGGCGGCCUUCCUAUAGGCUUUCUUCAGCUCAUCCUGGCUUGCGCUCUUGGGAACCCCAAGAAUCUCGUAGUACUUGGUGUUGUCGCUCUU